This 482-nucleotide ribosomal RNA is filed under the name uncultured bacterium. Its description in RNAcentral is "bacterial SSU rRNA". It matches the Rfam family "Bacterial small subunit ribosomal RNA", at positions 29 to 506 of the family's 1533-position model. The record is from RNAcentral.
UUGAACGCUGGCGGAAUGCUUUACACAUGCAAGUCGAGCGGCAGCGCGGGGGCAACCCUGGCGGCGAGCGGCGAACGGGUGAGUAAUACAUCGGAACGUACCCAGUUGUGGGGGAUAGCCCGGCGAAAGCCGGAUUAAUACCGCAUAAGUCCUGAGGGAGAAAGCGGGGGACCGCAAGGCCUCGCGCGAUUGGAGCGGCCGAUGUCAGAUUAGCUAGUUGGUGGGGUAAAGGCCUACCAAGGCGACGAUCUGUAGCUGGUCUGAGAGGACGACCAGCCACACUGGGACUGAGACACGGCCCAGACUCCUACGGGAGGCAGCAGUGGGGAAUUUUGGACAAUGGGGGCAAGCCUGAUCCAGCCAUUCCGCGUGAGUGAAGAAGGCCUUCGGGUUGUAAAGCUCUUUCAGACGGAAAGAAAACGCAUCGGUGAAUACCCGGUGUGGAUGACGGUACCGUAAGAAGAAGCAACGGCUAACUACGU